RNAcentral lists this ribosomal RNA (122 nucleotides) under Methanosarcinales archaeon. The record is from RNAcentral. Lineage: Archaea; Methanobacteriati; Methanobacteriota; Methanomicrobia; Methanosarcinales.
CAUAGCGGCCAUAGCGGUAGGGAAACACCCGGACCCAUCCCGAACCCGGAAGUUAAGCCUGCCUGCGUUCCGUGUUGUACUACGGUGCGCGAGCCCGUGGGAAGCAUGGAUCGCCGCUAUGC